UAGGUGCAGGUCGUACAUACGCGGUCAGUUCGGUCAGUACGUGACAAAGCUGAGAACCUGUCAACAAGUCCGCACCGGUUAGUAACCACAUCUUGUGUUUUGCAGGUAAACCAGCAUAUGAGAUGGACCAGGCUCAUCCAGACUUGGGCUCCAGCCUGUCUUUUGGGUAACUCUGAAAGGGCAGCCACAUCGUCACACCAACAUGUCCACAGACAACGCAGAUGUCAUCUGACAGUGUCCAGGAGAUGUGAAGAUGAAGCCAGAGCUGCAGAGGAAGACCAGCGUGGGGGUUUUCACUAAAGGCAGAUGACAGCUUGAUGCAAAAGACGUGGAAGAGACACAUGUUAUAUCACACCUUAGAAUCCAUGCAGAAAGGGUAAUAUGCAAGUUGUGUAGCAAGUACUGUUGGAGGACACCAGUCAGUUUGUUGCUUCCAUGUGAGGGUGAGGUUACCCUUCUAAAAUAGUUGAUGUUUGUUGUAUAUUACUGAACAUGUGCCCAAGUGUUGUUGUAAGGCCAGAGGACACAUGCACUUGUUGAGUGAUUGAAUAAAAAAAAAAAAAAAAA
Molecule: long non-coding RNA, 567 nt
Organism: Sphaeramia orbicularis (orbiculate cardinalfish)
Lineage: Eukaryota; Metazoa; Chordata; Actinopteri; Kurtiformes; Apogonidae
Exons: 2
Source: RefSeq, a predicted model, not a curated record